Molecule: ribosomal RNA, 253 nt
Filed under: uncultured bacterium
Lineage: Bacteria
Description: partial 16S ribosomal RNA
Rfam family: Bacterial small subunit ribosomal RNA
Source: RNAcentral
UACGUAGGGCGCAAGCGUUAUCCGGAAUUAUUGGGCGUAAAGAGCUCGUAGGCGGUUUGUCGCGUCUGCCGUGAAAGCCCGGGGCUCAACCCCGGAAGUGCACUCGAAACUGCAAGGCUUGAGUACGGAAGAGGGUCUCGGAAUUCCCGGUGUAGAGGUGAAAUUCGUAGAUAUCGGGAGGAACACCAGUGGCGAAGGCGGAGACCUGGGCCGAUACUGACGCUGAGGUGCGAAAGCGUGGGGAGCAAACAGG